Molecule: long non-coding RNA, 200 nt
Filed under: Malus domestica (apple)
Lineage: Eukaryota; Viridiplantae; Streptophyta; Magnoliopsida; Rosales; Rosaceae
Description: long non-coding RNA (MDOM_LNC000041)
Source: RNAcentral
AUACAAACUGCACAUGCAAGGAAUUGAAGUGGUCCUCUCCUUAGCCUAUAAAUACAUCCACCAUUCCCCUUACUAAAGAAAAUCUUGAUCCAUCAAAAGAGCUUCAUUCACAAACACAAUUUCCUUGUAGUGACCUCCAUCCAUUCAUCUAGCCAUACUACAUCUCACCAAUCCAUACACUUUCAUCUCUUAGCCGUGCA